AGUACGUGAAACUGCUUAGAGGUUAAGCCCGAUGAACCUGAAUAUCCAUUAUGGAAAAUUCAACAUUAAUAUUAUAAUAUUUAUUUUAUAUAAAUAAUUAUAAAAAUAGUGUGCAAUUUUUCCAUAUAAGGACAUUGUAAUCUGUUAAUGUUAUAAAUAUUUAUCAUAAGAUUCAAUAAUAUAUAAAAGUUUAUUCAAAUUAGUUAUUUUCCGAUUUCUAACAUAGAAUAAAUUUAUAAAGUGAAUUUGAUAAAUCAUUGACAGAUUUAUUAUUAUAUAGUGCUUAAAUUCUUAUUUGAAUUUUACAAUAAUUUAUAAAUGUAUUCUCAUUUAUUUAUUUAUUGUAUGCACUUAUAUGAUUAACAAUGCUAUAGAUUCAGGAUACCUUCGGGACCCGUCUUGAAACACGGACCAAGGAGUCUAACAUAUGUGCAAGUCAUUGGGUAUUUUUAAUAAAACCCAAAGGCAUAAUUAACUUAACUGUUUUAUAUAUGGGAUUAGUUUAUAUUUUAUUAUGAAAUAUUAAUUCAAUCCCGGGGCGUUCUAUAUAGUUAUGUAUAAUAAUAUUUAUUAUUAUUUAUACCUCUAACUAGAGCGUACCUUGAGCAUAUAUGCUGUGACCCGAAAGUG
Molecule: ribosomal RNA, 630 nt
Filed under: Merodon planifacies
Lineage: Eukaryota; Metazoa; Arthropoda; Insecta; Diptera; Syrphidae
Description: eukaryotic LSU rRNA
Rfam family: Eukaryotic large subunit ribosomal RNA (bases 411-630)
Source: RNAcentral